AAAUUUAUUCCGGUAUAAAAAACCAAAGGGAGAAGAAGAAAGAGAGACAAAUACGAAUAUGGAAAGGAGAGGGAGACAACCAAGAUGUCCUCUAAUGUUCUCCAACCACACCCACACACAAUUCAGCCUCUUAGCCCCUCAUUUUCCAUAUAUGGGGUGUUAUUUAAUUUCUUUUUCCUAAAUUCAUAGCCUCAAAAAUAUAUCUCAAUAUCCCUUCUGGCCUUCCACAUUCUCUCCCUUUUUAUCCCUCUUAAUAAAACAGAUCAAAUAACUGUUUUUGCUAUAUNNNN
Molecule: long non-coding RNA, 290 nt
Filed under: Nicotiana benthamiana
Lineage: Eukaryota; Viridiplantae; Streptophyta; Magnoliopsida; Solanales; Solanaceae
Description: long non-coding RNA (NBEN_LNC008065)
Source: RNAcentral